UGGGGAAUAUUGCACAAUGGGCGCAAGCCUGAUGCAGCCAUGCCGCGUGUGUGAAGAAGGCCUUCGGGUUGUAAAGCACUUUCAGUCGUGAGGAAGGUAGUGUAGUUAAUAGCUGCAUUAUUUGACGUUAGCGACAGAAGAAGCACCGGCUAACUCCGUGCCAGCAGCCGCGGUAAUACGGAGGGUGCGAGCGUUAAUCGGAAUUACUGGGCGUAAAGCGCAUGCAGGUGGUUCGUUAAGUCAGAUGUGAAAGCCCGGGGCUCAACCUCGGAACUGCAUUUGAAACUGUCGGACUAGAGUACUGUAGAGGGGGGUAGAAUUUCAGGUGUAGCGGUGAAAUGCGUAGAGAUCUGAAGGAAUACCGGUGGCGAAGGCGGCCCCCUGGACAGAUACUGACACUCAGAUGCGAAAGCGUGGGGAGCAAACAGGAUUAGAUACCCUGGUAGUCCACGCCGUAAACGAUGUCUACUUGGAGGUUGUUCCCUUGAGG
Molecule: ribosomal RNA, 490 nt
Filed under: Vibrio sp. I1
Lineage: Bacteria; Pseudomonadati; Pseudomonadota; Gammaproteobacteria; Vibrionales; Vibrionaceae
Description: bacterial SSU rRNA
Rfam family: Bacterial small subunit ribosomal RNA
Source: RNAcentral